UGAAGGUUCAUCUUCUGUGAAUCCUCUCAGCUAAAAUAAAGUUGAAGUAAACAGAACUUGACUGACUGGAGCAACUUGGUAGGAGGUUGCUAGGGAUCUGAGCUGGUUCACCUGCCGGGGAGGUGCUGCCCGCAGUGUUCCUCCCAGAAGCCUUCCUGUUUGCACGAGGGGGAAUCCUACGAGGACCUGGCCCGGUGGACGGACGGCGGAUGCCGGGAGUGCGAAUGCCGCGGCGCCCGGGUGACUUGCUACCUGCGCUCCUGCCCCACCUGCCCCCCCGGCACCCUGCAGGUCAGCCGGGCGGGCCGGUGCUGCCCCGAGUGCCACCCGGGUACGUCGCCCCCGCAAAGGAUUCUGGGAGAACGCAUUACCUAACUUAACACGACAGCCCAGUAUACAGGCCUAGGAAGAAGGCGAGCGUCGUACUUUCUGUGUACUUUUCCUCCUCUGCUUUCACUUUUCACGGGUUGGUGUUAGCUCGCUAAGCUAGCCACCGUGUUCACAAGGUUAUAAACCACCACAGACGAAUAAUCUCCGCUUUCACACCGCGGGGGAUAAUUAAAAGAGUUCCAGGCUUUAUGUCAUCAAACCUCAGCGUGAACAUGGACCAGCUUCAUUAAAAAGCCAGCAGGGUUUAUACGAC
Gasterosteus aculeatus aculeatus (three-spined stickleback) is the source of this 643-nucleotide long non-coding RNA. Lineage: Eukaryota; Metazoa; Chordata; Actinopteri; Perciformes; Gasterosteidae. The record is from Ensembl.